AAAACAUCUGCUGCCGCAGAAACAAUAUUAUAGAAAAUGGAUGACAAGAAUUCAAUCAUUUAUACAAGGCCCCAAAUACAAUAAUAAACCAAAGAAGAACAGCAACCUGGGUGGGAAGACAGGUUCACAUACAAGUUAACCAUGCCUCUGCUGCUAUAUAGCAGUAGACAUCACUGCCUAAUGGUGCCUUUUGGCUGAGCAAAUUUCCUGCUCCGUGGAGAUCUCAUUCAGAGCUGCUGAUAUAUUUCUCCCUCCCAACUAAAGUGUGAUGCUGCAGAAACCAAGGCAUAGAGUGGAUGGUAAGAAAAAAUAUACUGUAUCCUAGACCCUGAAUACAAUAAACAAAAGAGAAAAGCAUCCUAGGUGAAUGGGAGCAGCAGCAUGAUUAAUCAAAAGGCCUUCAAGAUGAUUUGUAAGAAGAAAAUGUGUUUGAUAUUAAAGUUGGAGAACAUAAAAUCUAAAUUUUAUAUUAAGAAAUAUUGAGUUCAAACUUCACAGUGCAAUUACGUGUAUAAGCCGGAAGAGUCUCCAAUAAACCUAAGCACAGUAUCUUACCUGGCAUAACAUUUUGCAGUUGCUUCAGUGACAUACAAUACAUCACAGUUACCUACAUACUUAUAUCUAGUAUCAAAUACAAUAUAGACCUCUCUGCUGAGAAUUCUCUAUUUAGUUCUGCAUCCCUCUUUUUAGUCUCAUUGUUUGGUGUUUUGGUGGCUAGCUUCUUGAUUUCAUUUUCAUUUUGGAUAUCAGCCCUCUCUGGGGUUGAUGAAGACCUUUUCCAAUUCUGUGUGCUCAGAAUUUUAUCUUCCUGACCUCAACAUAAAACCAGAACAACUAGAAGAAAUGAUCCUGAGUAAAGUAAUUCAGUCACAAAAAGACAAAUGAGUAUACUAAGGCAGCUGUAGAUCAUCGAUAAGCAUGUCAUAUGAAAUUAAACAUCACAUCUGCAGGUACACAUUCUGUGUUGUUGAAGGUGUGGUUCAGAUUAUAGGCCUGAGAAGUGAAGUUAAUCACUGUUUAAUGUGUGAAAUAUGUAAGAAACACACACAGAUAUUUUGGACUUAAUGUAUACAUAAAAUAUAUAAAAUAUUAUUUCUGAAUAUUUCAUUAUGAUGUUUUAAUUAUAAAACGUUUUAAAGAGAUGGGCACUCUAGAAUCUUAUGUACCGAGCAGCAUAUAGAUAAAAUGUAUUAAAUAGGGGGUAUGUGUGAAAAAGUAAAUAGCAGAGAAUGGAUUAUUCAUUAAAACUGUGUGAAUAUAUGUCACUGUUAUGGGUUUAAUAAAGAAGCUAACUUGCUUGGAUGUAGCCAUGUUGCGUUAGUUUGAGAACUAAACUG
RNAcentral lists this long non-coding RNA (1337 nucleotides) under Cricetulus griseus (Chinese hamster). RNAcentral's name for it is "lncRNA (ENSCGRG00015040307.1)". The record is from RNAcentral. Lineage: Eukaryota; Metazoa; Chordata; Mammalia; Rodentia; Cricetidae.